RNAcentral lists this ribosomal RNA (649 nucleotides) under Sarcogyne regularis. RNAcentral's name for it is "SSU rRNA". It matches the Rfam family "Bacterial small subunit ribosomal RNA", at positions 399 to 1113 of the family's 1533-position model. The record is from RNAcentral. Lineage: Eukaryota; Fungi; Ascomycota; Lecanoromycetes; Acarosporales; Acarosporaceae.
GCUAGUUGUAUUAACUAUUAGUUAAUACAAGAUCGACUAUGUCGACUAAAGUUCUAGGUAGAAUAAUGAUGAUGACAAUUUUCUACCUAUAUGUCUUGACCAAAUCUCGUGCCAGCAGUCGCGGUAAUACGUGAAAGACUAGUGUUAUUCAUCUUUAAUAGGUUUAAAGGGUACCUAGACGGUUUAUCUAGCCCAAAACAGGGUACGGAUUUUCUAGAGUUUUAUGUGAGGAGGGGAGUACUCAUAGAGUAAAGAUGAAAUUUUGUGAUACUAUGGGGAAACUGGUGGUGGCGAAAGCAACCUUCUAUGUAUAAACUGACGUUGAGGGACGAAGGCUUGGGUAGCAAAUAGGAUUAGAUACCCUAGUAGUCCAAGCAGACAAUUCUGAAUGCCAUAGAUUAGAUUUUUUUUUGGUCUAUAAAUGAAAGUGUAAGCAUUCCACCUUAGGAGUAAUGUGGCAACACAGGAACUGAAAUCAUUAGACCGUUUCUGAAACCAGUAGUGAAGUAUGUUAUUUAAUUUGUUAGUCCUCAAAAAACCUUACCACAACUUGAAUAUUAUUUAAUUAAUACAAGCGUUGCACGGCUGUCUUCAGUUAAUGUCGUGAGAUUUUGGUUAACUCCCUCAAUUAACGUAAACCCUUACUUUA